CCGACGAAAAAGCACACCACCCUCGCGGCCCAGGAUGAUUUUUCGAGCCCAGCCCAUCAUCCACCUUCUUCCACUCUAAAAUCUCCGUGUCCAAAGCCCAUGCUUCGCUAGUAAACUUUCCGGCACCCAUGUGGCCCAAGUCACUCGGGUCCACUUCUCCACCGUAGAUCACUAUGUACUUUCCAAUCCCAACCGUUGAAAAUACACUUCGAGCCGUUGGUUUUUCACCCCGUAUCUGUACUUGCUCCCACUUUCCAAGGGUCGGAUCAAAGCUAUGCACAUCGUCCGUUUCCAUACCAGCGAACCCAUAUACGACCCAUAUUUUCCCUCCGGCUACGGCCAGCCCAGGCCCGCCUCGGCCCUUACAAUUUUCUCCUGGUGUUGGAUACUUGAUCCAUUUUUGUUCGACCACAUUAUAGGCCCAUAAAUCAUUAAGCCGGCCGGCGACACCACAGCCGCCGAAAAUGUACACGUGCCGAUCAUCGGAGGUGGUUGAAUGGUAACUCCGGUGAGGAGGCCCGGCAUCGCCACUAGAUAGUAGCGUCCACUUAUUAGUAUCAGUGUAAAAAGAGUAAAGCUCAUUAAGCUCCUUAUGUUCACUGUCUCUGCCACCAAACACAUAAAUAGUUUUCCCAACUGCGGCCAUUGUGACGCCGACCCGCGGCGGCGGUAUGUCUCCGGUGACUUGAAGGGUAGACCAUGUUCGGUUGUCGAGAUCAAAGACGUGCAGGUCGUUGUCGACAGGGACACGUGGCGCAAACUCGCCACCAAAAGCGUAGGCCAUGUGUCCUACUAAGGUAAUGGCGUGUGAGCUUCUGGCUCCGGGACCAGUCCCUUUCUGAUCAAGCUGAUACAAGCAGAUAACAAAAAAUUACUGAAUUCAAAUUUCUCGGAAAUAAAUUUCAGUCAAAUCAAGAAAAGGAGAUUUUGGAUUCAAUAAAAAUAACAGGAAUUGAAUUCCUAAUAUAAACCAUUUUCAUGAAAUUGAUUGAUCAAGAAGAAGAGAGAGAGAGAGAAGUUACCUCGAUCCAAUUGCCUCGAAUGACCGCCAUGGAAAAGAUUUGCACUGAGUCUCGGAAUUGAAAUGCCUUUGCGUUUCGAAGAACAGAUUAUAAUCAUACAGAGAAGAAUGUUAUCUUCCUAUUUCCAACUGAAGCAUAUGGCCUUAUUUUAGCUUUUAAUUACAAUCGUAUCGUACAAUGGUUAGCUAAUAUAAUUAAAUUUUAUUCGAAUAUUAAAUUACAGGAUUUUUCUUCAGUGAUGGGCUGAUGGCAUGCAAUGUGCCAUGCUGACAUGACAAUCCUAAUAUGUCUACUUAAUAGUUAAUUAAUUAAAACUUUAGUUCACCUAAUCUCUCACAAAAAAAAAAAAAAAAGGUCCACCAUCUGCAAACUCUGCAGGCUUCAUUUUAUAUUAUAUAUAUAAAUUAUUUCUUUUAUUAUUAUAUUUAAUUAUUUGUUUAUUUUUAAGUUAUUUCUUUUAUUAAAAUAAAUUGUUCAUCGUUAGAAAUAUAUUUUCUCACUUAAAAUAAAAAUUAGUUUCAUUUAAAACGUUUUAGUUUUCUCCUUAACCAUAAAAAAAUCUUUUGUUAAUUGAUUUUUCCAAAUAUUUCAAAUACUGCUAAACAAUAUUUUUCAAUAAAUUAUUUUAUGAAAAUAAAAGAAGCCUUAAAAUAAUUUCGCCACUAGAUAGUAGCGUCCACUUAUUAGUAUCAGUGUCAAAAGAGUAAAGCUCAUUAAGCUCCUUGUGUUCACUGUCUCUGCCACCAAACACAUUAAUAGUUUUCCCAACUGCGGCCAUUGUGACACCGACCCGCGGCGGCGGUAUGUCUCCGGUGACUUGAAGGGUAGACCAUGUUCGGUUGUCGAGAUCAAAGACGUGCAGGUCGUUGUCGACAGGGACACGUGGCGCAAACUCGCCACCAAAAGCGUAGGCCAUGUGUCCUACUAAGGUAAUGGCGUGUGAGCUUCUGGCUCCGGGACCAGUCCCUUUCUGAUCAAGCUGAUACAAGCAGAUAACAAAAAUUACUGAAUUCAAAUUUCUCGGAAAUGAAUUUCAGUCAAAUCAAGAAAAGGAGAUUUUGGAUUCAAUAAAAAUAACAGGAAUUGAAUUCCUAAUAUAAACCAUUUUCAUGAAAUUGAUUGAUCAAGAAGAAGAGAGAGAGAGAGAGAGAGAGAAGUUACCUCGAUCCAAUUGCCUCGAAUGACGGCCAUGGAAAAGAUUUGUACCGAGUCUCGGAAUUGGAAUGCCUUUGCGUUUCGAAGAACAGAUUAUGAUCAUAUAGAGAAGAUGUUAUCUUCCUAUUUCCAACUGAAGCAUAUCGUACAACGGUUAGCUAAUAUAAUUAAAUUUUAUUCGAAUAUUAAAUUACAGGAUUUUUCUUCAGUGAUGGGCUGAUGGCAUGCAAUGUGCCAUGCUGACAUGACAAUCCUAAUAUGUCUAUUUAAUAGUUAAUUAAUUAAAAAAUUAGUUCACCUUCUCUCUCACCAAAAAAAAAAAAAAAAAAGAAGUCCACCAUCUGCAAACUCUGCAGGCUUCAUUUUAUAUUAUAUAUAUAAAUUAUUUAUUUUAUUAUUAUAUUUAAUUAUUUGUUUAUUUUUAAGUUAUUUCUUUUAUUAAAAUAAAUUGUUCAUCGUUAGAAAUAUAUUUUCUCACUUAAAAUAAAAAUUAGUUUCCUUUAAAACGUUUUAGUUUUCUCCUUAACCAUAAAAAUAUCUUUUGUUAAUUGAUUUUUCCAAAUAUUUCAAAUAUUACUAAACAAUAUUUUUCAAUAAACUAUUUUAUGAAAAUAAAAGAAGCCUUAAAAUAAUUUAAAUAAAAUACAACGUUAAUAAUAAAGUGGUGGGUACAAUAACGCUAAAACAAAAAAAUAUUAUUACCAGAUCAAGAUUUUUUACUUAUAUCAAAAUUGAUAAAAUUUUCCCCUUUUCACUUGAAUCAAAUAUAUUUUUUAAUUUUUUUUUUCAAUUUCCAUCAAUAUUUUGUUGCGUUCAAAUCAAAUUGGUACCUGAUUGCAAGGUUUUCAAUAAUUUAAAUAUUUAAUUAUAAUAGUUUUUUCUAUUCAAACAGUAAAAUAGAAAAAAAUUUAAAAAUUGCGACAUUAAAAGUAUAAUUAAUCUUGGAGUAUACUAUUAAGGUAGAGUAUCAAUAAUGAAUCCUUAGAGAUACCGCUUUAAAUAGUCAUUAAUAAUAUAACACAAUUACCCUACCAUAUUUACACUUCAUAAAUCAGCCUUGUUAUUUAUUUAUUUUUCUCUUUAAUUAGUAUUAAGAAAAAAAUACAUCGGAAUCAUAUAUUAACUAUAUUCGGCAACAUCUUUUUUGGUAGCUUUUUAUAUAAUUUUUUAAUAUUUUUUCUUUAGCAUUAAGUCAAAACAUUAUUUUCAUUACUUAUCGUGUUUGGUAGUGUACCGUUGAUACAUAUUUAUAAUUUGAGAGAGCAUAUUACAAAACAUAACUCCCUUUUAAUUCUGGUUAAGUAGUUAAUAACUACUAAAACAACUAACUUUUAGCUAUACAAAAGCAAAUACGAUGGCACCUCUUUCAUUUAAUAAUAAUAUUAUUGUUAAAUCAUUUCCAAAGAGUGAGAUUGUUAAAUCAUUUCCAAAGAGUGAGAUGAGAUGAUAGAAAUUUUUUCUCCCUUAACUAAAGAUCUCGAAUUCGAUUCUUGAAUAUGAAUUCUUUUUAAACACUCGGGAGGGACCUUUUUUGUGGGCCUGUCCAUUGUGAAUCCGAAUUUAAUUGGGCCAGUGGGCUCAGACACCGAAGGAUUAAAACUAAUAAUAUUAUUGUUAUAUCAAAAUAUAUUAGUCCUAUAAAAUAACCCUCUUUUAUUUUAAAUCAAAUAUACUUUCUUAUUUUUUUUCUCUAUUUGUAUGAAUACUUUGUUGCUUAAUUAAAUGUAUAAUUAAUCUUGGAGUAUAUUAUUAAGGUAGAGUAUCAAUAAUGAAUCCUUAGAGAUGCCGCUUUAAAUAGUCAUUAAUAGUAUAACACAAUUUCCCUACCAUAUUUACACUUCAUAAAUCAGCCUUGUUAUUUAUUUUUUUUCUCUUUAAUUAGUAUUAAGAAAAAAAAUACAUCGGAAAUCAUAUAUUAACUACGUUCGGCAACAUCUUUUCUGGUAGAUUUUAAUAUAAUUUUUUAAUAUUUUUUCUCUAGUAUUAAGUUAAAACAUUAUCUCUAUUACUUAUCGUGUUUGAUAGUGUACCGUUGAUACAUAUUUAUAAUUUGAGAGAGCAUAUUACAAAACAUUACUCCCUUUUAAUUUUUGAUGGAAUUCUGGUUAAGUAGUUAACAACUACUAAAACAACUAACUUUUAGUUAUACAAAAGCAAAUUCGUUGGCACCUCUUUCAUUUAAUAAUAAUAUUAUUGUUAAAUCAUUUUCGAGAAGUGAGAUGAGAUGAUAGAAAUUUUUUCUCCCUUAACUAAAGGUCUCGAAUUCGAGCCUUGAAUAUGAAUUCUUUUUAAACACUCAGGAGGGACCUUCUUUGUGGGUCUGUCCAUUGUGAAUCCGAAUUUAAUUGGGCCAAUGGGCUCAGACACCGAAGGAUUAAAACUAAUAAUAUUAUUGUUAUAUCAAAAUAUAUUAGUCCCAUAAAAUAACCCUCUUUUAUUUUAAAUCAAAUAUACUUUCUUUUUUUUUUUUUCUCUAUUUGUAUGAAUACUUUGUUGCUUGUGAAUUAAUGUAACGCCUAAUUGCAACACUUUUAAUAGUUUUGAGAUUUAUUUAUAAACUUUUUGUGUUUUAGAUAUCAAAUAAAAAAGUUUAAAAGCUCUCACACACACCACAUAUGUAAUUAACCUUAAAAUACACCAUUAAAGUAUAGCUUAAAAUAAUGAAUCAUUAAUAAUGUAACGCAACUAUUCCCUAACCGCCAUUACACUUCAGGAAUCCAACUCAUUAUUUUUGUUUUAUUAUCUUUGGCAUUGGCAAGAAAAUAAUACACUAGUAUCAUCGCAGUGUGUGUGUAUAUAUAUAUAUAUAUAUAUCGGUCAAUCAAGUGUUAUCUGAUUAGUUUUCUUUUAAUGUCGGAGUGAGAAGUUCAAAUUCGAUUCUCUAGACAAAAAUUUUCAUCAAUUUAAUAAAUUAAGAGAGGACCAUGUCUUAUUAUAUAGCUCGUAAUAUUGUUAAUCUUCUAAUGAAUUAAAGAGAGAGGAAAAAACCACACAAAAACAAUGAACCAAACCAAACUGAUGAAAUUGAGGAAAAAUUUGUCUAGAUUCGUUCUAUGUCUCCACCUAUGAAUCAAACCAAUGAAAUUAACCCUUUGUUUGGAUGAAGGGCGAGAGGGAUCGUUAAAAUAAGUAAGGUAUAGUAAAAUAUAGUACGGGAAAGUAUGACAAAUGUCUUUUUUGUGUUUGUGGAGAAGGUAUGAUAAAUGAAGGUCUAAUAACAUUGUUUUGUUUGGUUUAAUGGUGGAGAAAUGUACUGUUAAAUAUAAAUAUUACGAAAAUACCCUUGUCAUGGAAGAUUUAUAAAUAUAAUUAUGAAUAAUUUUGAAAAUUAAAAUUUUUAACCAUGUUUACACCCUAAUUCAGGUUGUUGAAGAUUGGAGUGUUUAGAUGGAUUUUCAAUCCCUCAAAUAACUUUCAAAAAAUCAUACUCUCACUCAAGCUCUUUUCCCAAAUGAUUAGAUAAUACAUUUUACUCUCCAAACCUAUUAAAUAACCUCUAUAAUCUGUAAGAAUUUUUUAAAGAGUGUCAGCGAUUUUAUUUUAUUUUAUUUUUUUAUUUUUGUGUAUAUUAAUGGUAAGAUAUCAAUUUUAACUUUUAGACAAGGCAUAAGACAGGAUAAGAUAUCAAUUAGUAGAUUAAUGGUAAGCAAGGUGCACAUCACAAUGAAUUAUUCCAUAUUUAAUGAUUAUUUUAAUUUGCUUGACGUAUGGAAUGAUUAUUUUCAUGGCUAAUGAAUGAAUAAAUUAAAUAAAAGAGUGCUCUUACCACCAGUUGAAACCGGUGCUACUAAUUUGUGUUCUUAAGAAUAUAAAACUUGCAUUUGGUGGAUUUUCCUCUUGUCGUUUCCUUAAUUUUUUUGUUCUUGGAGUAUUGAAGUAAAUCCUUCUAAAAUUCAACUGAAAUAUAAUCCACUUUCUAUUAAAAUUAUUAUUUUAGACGUAUAAAUUUAAUAAAACUGUUUUUUCUUAAUGAAAUAUUAAUUUAUAAAAUAUUAAAUUAGUUGUUCCUAAAUUGAAUUUUCCAAGACAUUGAAAUGAAAAUUUUUAUUUAAAAGAAAUAUAAAGAGCACAACUUGUGAAUUUUAACUGUUUUUUAAUUUAGCAUGGUAAUGGAUAACUCACGAUUUUCUAAGAUUUCCCUUCAUAUCUUAGUUGAAAUAGGUUAAUUAUCAUUUAAGGUAACUUGUAUCCUAUUAAAACAAAUAACUCAUUAAUUAAUGUAAAGAGAGUUAAAGGAGUGAUUUUUUUAGUUUGAAUAAAAUGUUCUUCUAGAAGAUUUUGAAUAACAUUUUUUAAUAGGAAACAAUUUUUAAAAUAUCAAGGUAUUUCAAUAAAUAAAUAAAAAUUUAUUAGAAAAUCAUCUAAAAAGACUGUGUAAAUUUCGUUAUUUUAAUAAUAUUUAACUGUGAAUUGUUUAACAGGCAUUUUAUUAAAUAUUUAAAAAAAUAAUAUUUCAUUAUUCCUUCUCUUAAAAUCUAAACACUACUGUAAAUGUUACAGUAGUAUAGAGAUUAACAUGGAGAGUAGGCUAACGUUCCUUAUGUAUUUUAUGGAAAUAGAGGAAACUUAGGAAAGGACAAAGGAAAAUAAGGUUUUCUAUCAUUGCUAAUUGCAAGGAAGGAAGGGGCCACCUCAUCUUGCUCCCCACAAGAGAGAACCUUUGUCGUUACCUUAGAUAAUUAUCCUUUGAAAGUUGAAACUUCCUCGCGAAGUAGAAGAUGAAGUUAUCAAAUGUGGACGACCUUAGCUAAAACCUUAACGACGUUUUUAAUCAUCCAUCCUUCUCAACUCAACUCAAGCGCUUUUGCUUUGAGUGCUUAAGUGGCCAAUCUCCGAUUCCUACGAGGGAAGGAAUAGGAUGGCUAGUUUACUCAUUUUAUGUCUUUAAUUUAAAUAACACAAAGAAAUUUUAUUUACGAGAUUUUUUAUUAAGCAAGCGAAAUUUAUUAAAAGAAAUUAUUUGUAAUUAAUGUUACUUAGAUUUAUUUAGUUUUUUAUAAAUAAGGAAAAUAAAAAUAUUAGUUUACUCUCUCAAGUGUCUGUGCUUAUAUUCCUGUUUAAACAUAACUAGCAAAAAAAAUAUAGAAUAUAGUUACAAAUUUAAAUAACAUAUGUCAAUCAAUCCAAAAUCCUUUCGUAAUUUAAUUAUCAAAUUGAAGCAUUAUCAAAUUGAAGCAUUACACAAAGUAUUCAGCCCAUGUCCGUUUUGACAACCCACAAAUCUGACUAAUUAUCGUUUACUUUUGGAGGCAAAAGGAUUGGCUCAGAAAAAUUUGCUUGUAGUUGUAUCGGAUCUCACAAUUACAUGGUCUUAGAUUUUAGAAACCACAAGGUAAAGUGUAAAAUUGGAAUAAAUUAUAGUUUGAGUUAAUAAUUUUAAGUUAGACGUAACUUUAAUUAUUUUGAGGGUGUAAUAAAGAUUUCAUCAAACUUAGUGUGGUUAUAAUUAAAAUACACUUUUGUAUCUUGAAAAAGAACAAUUGCUAAUUUAGGAAAUCUUCCCUUUUAAAUCAGAAAUUUCUAUAAAUUGAAAUUAAUUAUCAAGCAUAGAUAGAGGAAGAGUGCUUAAUUCCAAAUUCAAGCGUAGAUACAGGAACAGUUGCUAUCUUUUUCCAAUUGUUUAUUAAAAUAUCAAAUUUGAAUUGCUUUACUUUAUUACUUAAUUUAGUUCAUUUUAUUUAUUUAUUUUAAGAAUUUUAUCCAUCCAUUUAAAUAACAUAUAGUUGCUUAAAGUUCGGUACUCAAAACGACCCUCGAGGGAACAAUAAUAUUUUAUUGAUUCCUGACAUAAUACAAUUGCGGAUUUUACACAAUAAUUUUUCUUUAACAUGAUCACUAUUAACUAUCAGCAACUACUAGCUAACUUUUAACAUUUUAGUUAUUUAUGGAUAGCAGGGAGAUUUAUUAGGGAUUUAAGAUAUCUAGAGAAUAUAUUUUAGUUAUUAUCAGUAAGUGAUAGGAUUCUACUGUAAAGGUCUUACAGUUUGCUGAAAUCGCUCCCGUUGAAGUACAAAUAGACCUUUUUACCAGAAGCUGUGACCAUAGGCAUUGCAGAAAACCCAACAUAGUCCCUUUCUAACUUAGUUCUGCAUAUUUCAGCAACAUACUUGAAGAGCUGGUGUUCUUGAUUGUAUGGUUGAUCCACAUAGUCCUUAAUUGGCAUCCACUGAGGAAGAGAAUAUAAGAAAAUUAUCUUCUAACAAGAUUAAAAGUUACAACUUCUCCAUUGGUAUUGCAAAUAAAGUAAAUUAAGAUUCCAAACUUUCUUGGUUUGGAUUGAGGCUUUAAUCUUAAAUUAAAAGGCAUAUUAUUUCAAAGUUACAAGCAAGCAAAUAGGAUUUGGUUUCAAAGGGCAUCUUUAUAUAAUAUUUUUCAUGGGUGAAGGUAGGAGUGUCAAUAAGCCAAGCCAACUCACGAGCAGUUUGAGCAUUAAGCCUCGAGCCGAGCUUGAACUGAAAUUUUUUUGAGUUAAACUCGAGCCUCAAGUCGAGUUCGAGUUUAAAAUUUUCAGGCUCGUUGAGUUUCGAGCCAAACUUAAGCUGAACUAAAUUCUAUCGAGCCGAGCUUCGGGUUUGACAGGUUCAAGCUCGCUCGGCUCAUUUACACUCAUAGGUGAAGGAACUAAUGAAAUAAUAUAUGAUUAGUAGAUUAUUUAUUAAGAAAUGGUACCUGGGCUGCUGCAACCUCUGACUCUUGCUUCUGGAUCGCAAAGGAUAUUGGUCGUAACAAGCAAACGAAAAAUAAAUCUGAUUUGCUAAAGAAUGAUUGGUGACUUUGCCUGUGAUCAAUAAGCAAUAAAAAUGAGAUCAAAGACAGAUCAAAACUUAAGAAGCACCAUAACAAGCUGCAAUGGAUUCUUGAAUUAAUAGACUUUCUUAUGAUGAAAUUGCAACAAGACUUCUAAAAUUUCUUUUAUUGCAUGAAAAUUCACGAGGAAGAAGUUCAUAGAGCAUAAAUAGCAAACCUGAAUGCUAAAAUUUCCACAAAUUCAGCAUCAAUCUGGUAAGAAAACAAAAGAUUGAAGAUUUUAGGUUUAUAAUUGCCACAAUAGUUUAAUGCAAAACACUAAAAAUAUUAUCGAAGUUAAAAUGGAUCAACUCUAGGGCAUAACACUCAUAUUUGUCUUGUUUUAAGUCUACAAGAAAUUAUAUUUCUUACUCCAGUUUCUUCUUUAACCUCCCGAACUGCAGCUUUACAGAUAUCCUCUCCCUGAAGAAGGAAAAUUUCUGUUUAUUGAUGUAAAAUAUCAUAUAAAAAGAUAAAAAAACAGAGUCAAACUGCACUCGUAUUCUCACCUCAUUGACAACCCCAGUUGGUAGCUUCCAUAAACCUGUAUCUUUAAAUGCACCACCCUUCUCCUGAACUACAAGCACCUAUAAAAUGAAACAAUUUGGCUUCAAAGUUAGAAGUUGUAGCUAAUGGGCUGUAAUAGCAAACACAUAAUAUAGAGAUUUAAAUAAAAUAAAAAAAAAAACCAAUCCUAGUUCCGAAAAUAGGAGAUAUUUCAUUGCACCAAAAGCCAUCUUCAACCAGCACUCAAAGCCAAAAGUUAAGUGACAAGAACCAGUAAAUACCUCUCUGUUAUCAUUUACUACAAAAGCUCCAAUACCCACUCGAUGUGUAGCAUUUACUGGAAGAGUAUCGGCGGUAUUAGGUAGCCAUCGCACCAACAUCAAGUAAUCUGGUUCAGCAUGAUGAUACCUAAAUCCUUCCUGCAGAGUAAACAGAACAUGAUUGUAGGAAGAUAGAUACGCCAAUAAAAUAUUUUCUAUUACUUUUUUUUUUUACGUUCCCCUCCCAGCCUUUGAUGGUCAUUUUUAACUUUCCCUCAAUUUCUAUUUGUGUAACAGUAAAGGGGGCUAGCUAUCAUACGGCAAAAACUACAUCGGAAUGUUAACAUGAACCAUGAAAGAGUAAUAAAAAAUCAAUUUUUAUAGCCACAUCAUCAUUUGACUCAGGUAAAUUAUUUUCUCUCUCCUCUUUAUCUCUAAUUUUCUACCCAUUUGAGAAACCUCAAUCACACAUCCCUCCCUGCCACCACCAUUAAUCCAAUACUCCAUUGCCAAUAGAUAAACCCAUCAGACUUCUCCUCCUUUCAAUCUUCUAAUCAGUACACAUCUAAUCUAAAUAAUUUCAUCAAAUAUGUUAACUACAAAUUAAAAAGAAAAAUUAGGAGUCACAAAUAAUUAGAAUGUCCCACUGUAGAUUGAGAAGAACUCAAAAUCUAUUUCCAAAUUUACAUUCCUGGAUGCAAUGACUUGCAACUUCUUUAUUUCUUUCUGACUGUGACAAUGCCUCAAGCCCUUUAUAACUUCGCCUCAAAAACUAACACCCACCAAUUAUUACCAAAUAACCCCACACCCAAAAUAGGAAUAAGCAAAACUAAAAGUUUCAUUAUUUUGCGAGGUGAAUCCUUUGAAUUAUUUUCCUUUGAAAUAUUUUCCACAAUUUAUUUUCCGUUGUUUGGUUGCUCAGCAAAAUAAAUCAACGGAAAAUAUUUUUAUUUGGUUGUUCAGUAAAUAAAUCAAUGGAAAAUAUUUUUAUUGGUCAAAAGGAAAAUUAAAUCAUUUUUAAGAAAAAUAACUUUGUAGAAUAUGUUCCAACAUUGACAAAUUAUUAAUUAUCAGUAACAACUACUACCAGUCACCAUUUACCGCUAGCCACCAACGUCACCACCGACAACUUUCAUAAUUUACCUUUUCUUUUGCAUUCUUCUUAUAUAUAAAAUAAAAUUUGUAAAAAUACAAUAUUUAUAUUAUUAUUAAUAUUUUUAUAGUCUUAUAGGUUAAAAAUUUUAACAUUUUUAACUAAUUUUCAAAUCCCAACAAAACAAACAUUUUUCUUGAAAAAUAUCUAAGAAAAUAUUUUCGAAACGUAAGUUAUUUCCGGAAACAUAAGGAGCCUAAAUCAAGGAAAAACACGCAUUUAGCAGUACCUCUAAUCACUCUUCUCAAUCACUCCCGGAGACUUCUGAUUCAAAGGAUUCAAAAAUUUAAAUAAUGAAAACAAUAAGUCCAAAAUUAAUUGCAUAAAAUCUGAUUGGAAAUCUAUAAUUAGUGCGACUCCUAUUUCGGGGUUGAGAUUUCACCGAGGUUGAGCAAUGAUGUGGAGGUGGUUUCAAGUCCUAGGCGAUCUUCGAAGCUUUCUUUGCUUGGAAACACUAAUUUUAUAAUUAUCAAGAAGAGUGCCCGUGAAGAGUCGAAGCAACAUUUGGAAAUUCUUUGAGGAAAUCUUUGAGGUUUUCUUUGAAUGAUGAUUUGCCUUUCUUAUUUUGAUGUUUGAGAAUUCUUUUGCAGUGUUUUGUAGGGUUGAGUCAAUAUGAUGGAGAAAGAAUGCAGAUAGGAAGGAACUUUGAUUUUGGAGUCGUAUGUACAAACAGUUUGCAGAGAUAAAGAGAGAGAGACGGAAGAGUGGCGGGUUGGAUAGGACUGUGGUAUGGGUUAGGAAACAUAGAGAUGGAGAGCCGAGGCAACAAGGAAAAAGCGAGAGAGAGAGAGAUUGAAAGAAUGUAUAGGAGAGAGAAUUCUGCUACGCUUUAUUUUUAUUUUUUUCACGCACCCUAGUCGCCACGUCACUUGCAUUUCACCGGGAUAAGGUGCGGGUAGUUUUGUGUUAUAAAAAUGUAAGUUUAGACGCUUUAAGUGACAGAUUUAAGAUGAAAUACCAUAAACUGAUACCCUCGUAAAUUGAGAGAUACUGAGUGAAAGAUAGUCGUGCAUAAUAUCAACAAAAUUCUAUUCAGUCGAAGUGUAAUAUAUAUGUCAUUAAAAUUUUGGAUUUCACACCUAAGUCUAAUCAUUCAUUAAAUCAAUUCAAGACUUUUAAAUUCUAAAUCCAGUCACUCAUUAAAUCAAUUCAAGACUUUUAAAUUCUAAAUCGAGUCACUCAAAAAGUUCUGAGUUUCACAUAUAAGUCUAGUCAUUCAUUAAAUCAUUGGUUCAAAACCUUUUAGAUUAUUUAUUUAAAGAGUUCGGACUUUAUAUGUAAGUCUGGCUAAACUAGUAGUUCAGGACCUUUUAGAUUUUAAUCCGAGACCUUAUGUCUAUAAAGUUUUGUGUUCCAUGCUAGGAUUCAAACUUUUCCUUUUUUUCUUUUUUUUUUUUUUUUGUCAAUUUGAAAUUAACAUUAGAUUGAAACUGCCGUUCAAAACCUUUAAGGUUGAUUAUAAGUUGAACUAAUAUCUUCUGUUUUUGUCUAGUUUAAAAUCGUAAUUUUCGAACAUAUUCAGAUUCAAAUGUUUCUGAAAUUGAUUAUCAUCCAAAUUAGAACCGUGAAAGGGUCUUUCUAAACUUGAAAUAUUAAAUUUUAAGAGGGAACUUAUACGUUUGACCUUCCAAGAUAUGCUAAUAUAAUGUACAUACCUGAACUACUGGAUAGACGAGAUUAGCAAGUUGGAUUGACAGUUUUAUCCAAACACCUCUCUUCCCCUAAUAAAAACACAACAAAAUAAUAAUGAUUUAAUGAGUACAUGACAAACUAUUACUCUAUCUAUCCAUAAAUAUAAAUCGUUUAGGAAUUUUUUUUUUACUAAAAUAAGAAAGGAAUUAAUUCCUUACAUUAUAACAAAAAAGUUCAUUAAUUUAAUUAAAUUACUCUUUACCUUCCAUCAUUAAUAAGUUAAUAUGUUUAAUACAUAUAAGGGUAAAAUUAGAAAAAAAUUCAUUCAUACUUCUUAAUGUUCUCAACUUAUAUUUGUGGGGGCAAAAAAAAAAAAAGUCUAAAAUGACUUAUAUUUAUGGACGAAUCACAAACAGUGUCGAUAAUAAUUACCUGUUGCUUCCAUUGUGAAAGGGAGGCUCUAAGUAAAGGAACAAAAAUGUCGGCGUCCAUAUGCUGCUUCAUUUCUACAACAACUCCAUCAUAUAAAUCAUCAACUGCAUCAAGCAAUCCAACCUGCUCAAUUUCACUGUCAGGAACCAUCUGAUCCUUCAAAGGCAUUCUACUUGUGAUGGCUAGCACGUUAAUAUAAUAAUGCAACCUGGAGGAACGAGCGAAAAAAAGAAGAUUCCUUUAUUUUUUUUCUUUAAAGCAUUUUCUGUAAGUAGAAAGCAUCUUAUCCUUAUCUAAAAGGAAAUUUCCGAGAACUUUGUCCCGAACUCCAAAUUUGGAAAAGAGAAUCUAAUACAUUGUAGGAUAGGCUUGAUUUUUCCUUGAGACAUUUUAUCAAAUACAUAAAGGGCAAGACUCAAGCUAUACAUAUAUACUUACCUUCCUUUUUAAAUAUCAGAAAAAAGAAAAUGGUGCAGCUCCAGGAAUAGGAUUGUUGGAUCGUGGUGAACUUGCAUAAGAAUAUGAAAGAGUUUGUUGGGUCUCAAUAUGUGAUUCUUUAUUUAAUAGAGAGAUAAUCUCUCUGCAUAUACAUCUGAAUUGUCCUUCGGAUUAAUAAAGAAGAGUUUGGUUUUGACAGUUUCAGUUGAUAUAAUCAGCAUAUGUCUGUAAAAUCAACCUAAAUAAAAACAAAAUGAAAAAUCUGUCAACUUUGGAAGUACAAAAUUGAAUUGAUCAAUUCAAUUCUUUGCAAUACGGCGAUGAAAUCAAUGACUCAAACACUGCUUUUUAGACUAAACAAUUGAUGAAAACUGCUAAGAGGGUGAAGAUUAAUUUGUUCAAAUGGUUGGUAAACAAACAUGUUUCUCUUGAUUAAUUUAGCACAUAGAACGUGUGGUUGGCGGGAAAGAAUUACCUCUAGAACGAGAUUAGUUCAUAUAUUUAUCUCAAACCAAUGGAUAGGAUAUAUUUUCUCCAUUCAAAAAAGUUAUCAUCUCCUCUUUGCUCACGCAGUUGAAUUGUUGAAGAAAAUAUAAUAAAUAUGACGGCAACUUAUAUUUAUACAUUACUCCCAAAUUAAUUAAUUAACCAAAAGUAGAAUAAACAUUUUUUUAUUGAAAAAUUAUUUUUAUUUAAAUAUUAAAAUAUCAAUUAAGAAAAUCAAUCGAUAUAUUUCUCUCAAGUCAGUCCUUUUACCUCCGAGGGCGAGUAGAAAUUAGUCAAGUUUGUGAGCCGUUAAAACUGAUAUGUGUCUAGAUACCUCGUGCAAGUAUAAAAAAAAAAAAUCAAUAUAUGUAUAGAUUAAUUAGUUCUAGAGGUUUGACCUUAUUCAUAAAUUUAAGACUUUUAUUUUAAAAAUUGAUUUAACGCAUCUUAUCAUUUAAUUUUUUGAACUAUUUCUAGACUUAAUCUAAUACACUCAGUUUGAUAUAAUUGAAUUUAAAAUGUAAAAUUCAUUUAUAUAUAAGUUUUUCAUGUUGGCAAUAAAUUUAAAAUUGAAAAUUCAUUUACUUUUAUUUUCUAAAAUACCUUUAAAAGGCUAAAAAGAUAAAUAGUUGUCCUAAAAAUUUGAAUUAUUUAUCCAUUUAUUCCAAACAUGGGUAAAUGUUGAAUUCGGUGAAAAAAAAAAAUCGAUUAUAACCUAUUUAAUGUUAUUUAUCUUCGAAAUCUUAAGCCUUUUAUCUUAUCCUUUUUUUUUUUGACUAAAUAGAAAGUUGAACAAAAGACUAAAUGGUUGACAAAAACAAAUUGUAAAGACCUAUUAAUUUGAAUUUAAAGUUAGGUGUUCUAAUUAAUUGUAAAUUAUGUUAAAUUUCAAAGAUUAAUAGCAGUUAACACUAAUUAAGUUUGAUUUGAAGAAUUCAAAUAAGAUAUUUUCAGUUUGAUGUUAAUCUUUUCUUUAAUUCAAAAAAAUAACAUGAAAUCUACAGAUGUAUCAAAAUUUAUCCUCCACUGAUUAAAAUCUCUAUAUCCACAUUCCCUUCUCUUGAAUCUAGGUUUGACAUUUUCCUGAUUCAAAAAUGUUAUAUUGCAAAACAAAAUUUUGCAUGUGAGAUUGAAUGUUCUAGUUUUGUCAAUUGAAAAAUAAAAAUCUUUUGUUUAAUUAUGAGAAAUUCAAGUAAGAUAUGGGUUUUUGUAAAAUAUUUAUAUAUCAUUUUAUAUUGUGAAAAAUCCCUUCAAUAUAUGAAUUUAAUUUUCAUAAAAAACGAGAAAGAUUGUGUAAAUACCUGAAAUCAAAGGUAAAAUAUAAAGAAUUGCAAAAGUUCUUGAAAAAUGAAAUUCACAUUAAAAAAAAUAAAAUGAUGCUAUAUGAAGACUAACACAAUCCAAAAUGAUAUAUACAAACUAGAUUUCGACAUUUGUUAGACAUGUGUCUUUACUUUGUUCAUCAACAUCAAUAAAAUUCGCUGUGACUACGGCAGCACGUGGGUCGGAUUGAUUGAUUUAAAGUACCUGACCUAUAUAUGCAGAUCAAUGAUUUUUUUUUGACCCAACUCAAUUCAUUAAAUACGUGAACCCGCAUAUUAUAAACGAAUUGGAUUGGGUUGAGUACGGAUUCAGUAUAAACCCGUGGAUCAAAUAAAUGAUAAUAAUAAAAUUAUUUUUUAAUAAAAUACAACUCUUUAAAAGGAUUAAUAAAAAAAAUUAAAUAUACUUAAAAUCUUAAGUAUACAAUAAUUCUCACAAACUAUAAAUAUAUUUUAAUGACAAUAUUAAAAUUAAAUUUCUUAACAUGUUCAUUAUUAUUAUCAUCAUAAUCAUAAUCAUAAUCAACAAGAAAAAUUAAAUUUCUUAAUAAAAAAAACAAUUAGUAAAUUAAAAAUACUCGUUAAAAUAAUUAUAUAAUAUGUUUAAUUUAAACUACAAUAUACUCCAAGAACAAACGUGAUCUCUACUAAAUAUGUAAAUAAUUUAGUAUUUAUAUUCAAAAUUGCAAAUCAAAUCAAAUCAACUAAAUAAUUCAUAAUUUAUUUAUGGAUUGGAUCGGGUCUGCGGGUUCAUCUAAUGAACAUGUGAUCCAUCCUAACUCAACCCAUGAAUUGUAAAGAUAACCCGCCCAACCCAAUCCAUUGUAUCUUCAAUUCCGCCGGGUUGAGUUGGGCGGCUCGGAUUGGAUCGGUAUAAGGGGUCAUGUGCAGCCUUAACUGAGACCGACAAGAAGUUUCAACUUAUUAAUUAUAGGUAAUUUUUUUCACGUCAUUAUUGACUAUUUUGGCGAAUACAUGAUACUAUUAUUUCGGAAAAAUCAGAAAAGAGCUUAAACCAUCACCAAAAAUUAAAAAUUAAAAAUAUUAAUAUUCAAAAUAUAAAUUACUCUUGCUGUUUACUUACAAUUACAAACUUGAGUUUUUGAUUGGCUUACAUCAAUUUGAUUUUGUACUUUUGGCGAUUAUUUUUAUGGUUUUCAAACUUUAUGGGAAUCUAUCAUAACCCUACACUUUCACAUUUCAGUAAUAACCACGUCUCUUACCAAAAUGAAACAUGAAAGUGCAUAGUCAUAAUUGAACAUCCAUAAAGUUAUUUUAUUUUGCUGAGAGAUGUAGUUAUUACUGAGAUGUGAAAGUAUAAGAUUAUAAUUAAAUUUUCGUAAAAUGCAAGGUCACAUGGAGAAUCAGCCAAAUUUUAGGAUUAUUAACUUCUUGCGAGAAGUGCUACAAUUAUCAAAUAACAUUCUGCUAGGAUGGCCAAAAUUCGAUGUUCGAAACUAGAACUGCCACUUGGAACUAGUUGCAACUAGAAUCGAAACCGUGCGAAAACGGAAUCGAGAGUUCGGUUUGGUUCUGAUUCUAAAUUUUUUAUUUUAAAAUUAUAUGAACAGCCUGGAACCAGGGAUUCCACAUUUUUUUAUUUAUGUUAUGAUUCCACAUUUUUUGAAACCGGAACUAUGGCGAACCUACAUUCCACAACCUAAAACAUCCUGAACAGGGUUUCUUCUUAAGAAAAAAAAUGACAGGGUUCAGAUAUUUUCGAGAAAAAAUAACAUAUGCACAAAAAGAAAAAAAAAGCAAAUAAUUCAUUAAUGUCGGAACAUAACUGAAAUGUUUAAUGAUGAUACUGCAAAAUGCAUGUUUAGUUAAAAUAUAGUAUUAAUAGCAGAAAAGAACUCACAAAAUAUAAGUAAGAGAAGUAUUUUGCAUGCAUACCUUUCAGCCUUUAGUCUUUUGAACCUCCAAACGAAAGAAAGACAGCCUUUUAACUCGAUGAAUAUACGAAGUGGAUCUGCCCUGUACGCACAUAUAUGUAUUCAUAUAUAUACACACAUACGAUCUUUCCUCGCAUCAUCGCAUGUGUAUUGCAGAACAUGCGAGGACCCGGACAAUACACGUUUCUACUAUUCAAGUACUCCACUUUUCUUCGUUAUUUCACAUUGAUUCAACUAAAACAAUAUUAGUCGUACUUGAACGCUUUACAAAAAGUAGGCAAUUUACAAAAUAUUAGCAAUAAAUAGGGGUGGCCACGGUUCCGGAACCGCCAGUUUUGGUUCCGGAACCAACAGUUCUGAUUUCAAAAAAUUUAGAACCGGAACCGAACCGAAAAAUUAAUAGUUCCGAUUAUGGUUUGGAACCGAACGAUUCCGGUUCUGGUUUCGAUUCCUCAACAGUUCUAAAAUCGACAGUUCAUAUCGGUUUAGGACGGUUCCGACCGGUUUCAGAUCGGUUUAGGACGGUUCCGACCGGUUUCAGAUGAAACUAGAACCGUCGGUUCCGACUGGAGCUGGAACCGCCAGUUCACGAUUCCAAAACUAGUGGAACCGUAACCGAGCCGGUUUGGACCGGUUCCCUCCGAUUCCGAUUCCCACCGGUUCGGAACCGACAGUUCUGGUUCCGAAAUCCGGAUUUUGGCCACCCCUAGCAAUAAACGAAUUUUACAAAAUGUUUGGAAUAAACGAUUACACCGGGUUAUUUGGAAUAAACGAAUUUUACAAAAUGUUAUUGAAAUAAAAAUGUAAAUAAAAAUUAAAAGUUUAAGUUUUACAAAAUUCAAUUAUAUUUUUAAAUAUAACUAAAUCAAAUUCUAAUAAAAUAUAUAAAUUUUUUAAAAAAUUUUCAUAAAAUUAAACAAGUAAAUAUUUAAUGAAUUGUCCAUUCUCUUAGACUAUUAAAAUUAUUAUAUUAAAAAUGCAUUAGAAAAUAAAAGUAAAUAAAUUUUCAAUUUAAUCACAGGGUAAGGUGUUUGAUGCAUGUAAAAUGAAAAUUUCCUCAAAUGUUAAGUGGCUGAAACAUUUAUUUUUUAAUUGAAACAUUUAUUUACUAAUCAAAAAACUAUUUCUGUAAAUUAUUGUGUUCGGUAACUUGAUAUACAGAGUAACUUGAUAUACAUAAUAGCUUUUAGAGGUUCAUGAAGUAUUUUCUAAAACAGUAUCCCAUAAACGUUUAGCGUUUCACUUUUUUAACUAAAUUUUUUUUACAACCUUAUCCUUAUCCUUAAUUAAUAUAAAAUCCUUAUGUUAUCACAUUACAUGUUUUAUUAUCUUUAUAUUUGACUUAUUUAUAUUUGACAAUAAAAAAAAACCGUUAUUUUUAUGCUUGUAUUUAAACUCAAACAAAUAUUAAAAAUUAAAAAUGUUGAUCACCUCAAAUAUUAAAAAUUUUCCAUUUUAUUUAUAAAAUAUUGAGCUUUUCAAUUUUUGCUCCCUUAAAUUUUGAAAAUUUAGGUAUAGUGAAAUUAUUUUUUUAUAAUGAAUUUAAUUGAAAAUUCUAGAUGAAUAUUUCAAUGGCCUUUCUUGUCAUUAUAAAUUUAUUACCAAUCAAAUAGCUGUUUUUAUUGAACAUUUUCACUUUUAACCACUAUUCAAACAGCUAACAUCUAAUAAUUAAUGGCUACUAAAAUAAUUAACAACUAUUAAAAUAGCUAAUAACAGCUACUAGAAUAGCUAAUAUUGCUGAACAGGCCCAAAAACUGUGUAUUAUUAAAAGUAGAAAUUAGAAAUAAAAAUUUGAGAGCACAAGGUAAAGUAAAAAUAAAAUAGAUCGAAUACAAUAAAUUUAAUAGUUUUAAGAAAAUUGAAAAAUAUUUAUAUUAUUAAAAAUAUACGUAAUUUUAAAUAUCAUAUUUUAUUUAACAAUCAUUUAUUUUUCUUAAUAAACUAAAGCGUUUAUAUACCUAAUAAUUUCCUAAAAUAUUACCUUAAANNNNNNNNNNNNNNNNNNNNNNNNNNNNNNNNNNNNNNNNNNNNNNNNNNNNNNNNNNNNNNNNNNNNNNNNNNNNNNNNNNNNNNNNNNNNNNNNNNNNNNNNNNNNNNNNNNNNNNNNNNNNNNNNNNNNNNNNNNNNNNNNNNNNNNNNNNNNNNNNNNNNNNNNNNNNNNNNNNNNNNNNNNNNNNNNNNNNNNNNNNNNNNNNNNNNNNNNNNNNNNNNNNNNNNNNNNNNNNNNNNNNNNNNNNNAGGUGCAAGACCCAUCAACAGUUGAAUUGUCAAUAAAGAUUAAAUUAUUAACCUUUUUUUGGGAGUUUUUCUGUGGCGUAAAUGACAGAACAGAGAGUGACAUAAAUUUUUUAAAUUUAUUUACUAUUGUACUUAUAAUAAAUUGAGCUUACUUUUUAUUAUAUCUCAUUUACAUAGUUUGUAUUUAAUUAAUUUUAAAUUUCUAAUUCAGCAAUUCUACAUGACAUUGACAUCCAACCAAUAAAAAAUAACAUUUCUAAUUUUUAUAUAUUAAAUAUGAAAGCUUUUGUUCUCGGUACCGGGAGAUAUAUAUUAUAAAUUUUCUUACUUUGUAAUUUAUUUAUUUUUAUCUAAAUGGUAUUUGGCACUUAUUGUAAUUAUGUAAUUAAUUAAUUUUUAUCUUUAGCAAUUUAUACUAUUAUAAACUUUGAUAGUCGCAGCGGUAGAAAUAGCAAUAGCAGUAGAAAAAAUAAUUGUAGGUAGUAGAAGUAGAGUAGUAAUAGUAACAGUAGAUGUCUUAUUCUUUGCAUUAAUAAGAAAACCAAUUAUAACAGACCUCGUUAAUUUUUAAAUUUCAAUAUUAAUGCAUAAUUUGUCCUUAUUUCUUAACUAUUUUUUUGGCCAAAACUAAAAUUUUUACUAAGAUCUUAAGAAUGUUAAUUCAACUAAGCAAGCCCAGUAGCCGAAUUUUAUUACGCGUAUAUUUUAGAAACAGAAAGAAAUUCCCUCAUGCCUUCCUAAAAAAAAAAAAAAAAAAAAGAAAAGAAAAAGGGAAAAAACAAAAAAGGUAAUGGCCUCAUGCCUAUAAAAUAGCAUGACAAACCGUAACACCAGCACCCAACCAUCCAGUCCACAGCAGAAUAAAGUCGCUAACUAAUCCUUCUCCACCACCACCACCGCCGUUAACCCACAAAACUUGAAGCUUUUAAUUAGUUUGGUGUAAACGCUUAGAAAAAGAUGGUGAUCAAGGCUACAACCUUUACAACCAUUACAACCAUUACAACCAUUACAAGCAUGCCGGUUAGUAUAUAUUUACACAAACAUCGAUCAUUCGGAAACUUUGUUUUAAUUAUAUUUAUAUACUGUGCAAUAUAAAAAUCGCUUAAUUUUCUGUCAACCGGUGCAGAAAAAGAUGGUGAUCAAGGUUUCCAUGAAUUGCGAUGAGUCUCGCAAAAAGGCUCUGCAAAUCGCGGUUGGCGUUCAUGGUAAGUUACAAAUUACACAGCGUGCUGCUUUUUUGUGUUUCUGGAAACUUGUUAGAGAUAUGAAUUGGUUUGAAUGGUUCUUGUUCUUGAUAUAUCCUCACAGAAAUUUUAUCUAAACGCUUAGAAUUGAUUGGUUCUUGUUCUUGGUUUCAAUUACUUCUAUAUGUUUAAAAACUUUUGCUGAUUAUUGCAUCGAGCAGGGGUGCAAUCGGUGGCUUUAGGAGAAAAGGAUAAAAACCAGCUAGAAGUGAUCGGAAGUGGAGUAGACCCAGCGAAACUUAUAAGUUCGCUAAGGAAGAAGUCAGCAAAAUGCCCCAACUUUCUCACCUGUGUAUUACCAAACUGUAAGAUGGUGCACGCAGAGCUAGUAAGCGUGAUGUAGGAGAGCCAAAAAAAGAUGUUAAAAUAAAUUAUUAUUAUUAUUUCUAUAAAAUUAAUUAGAGGUAUGUUCAAAUAAAUAAAUAAAUGUAUAUAUACAUGUAUGCGUGUGCAUAGUAAAUAAGCAUUAUAAUUAAAAAGAAAUUGUUAUUAUUAUUAUAACUUUUUCUAGAGGAAUGUUAGAUUAUAAUUAUUGAUGAAUAUAAUAUUAGGUUAAUGUGAAAGCAUUACAAAAUUCAUCGUCUCGUUAAAGUGAAAGCAUUACAAAAUUCAUUUUCCUUUCUUUGAUUAAGACAUCCACUUGCAUGCUCUUUGAACUUAUGAUUGUUUUUAAAAUGCUCAUUAUAAUUAGAAUUUGCGAAUAAAAGCGGUUAAUUUGGACAAUUCUACUUAGUGAAUAUGUAUUAAAAAUUUAGCAACAAAAUUUUGUUGAACAUAAAUGUAAAUUAAGUUAUUUCCUUAUUUAAUAGAUCAUGCAACAACUAUCAAUCUAUAAUAUAUAUAUAAAAGUACGAAUGAAGGGAGAACUUUAACAUAAUCACGUGAUUAACAUAAUCACGUGUUGCUCAAGCGGGAAGGUUUUUAGGUGCAAGACCCAUCAACAGUUGAAUUGUCAAUAAAGAUUAAAUUUGGCGCACGGCAAUUCUUGUUGUUUUCUGAAGAUAGGUCACGUGAUUAACAUAAUCACGUGUUGCUCAAGCGGGAAGGUUUUUAGGUGCAAGACCCCUCGAUAGUUGAAUUGUCAAUAAAGAUUAAAUUAUUAACCUUUUUUUGGGAGUUUUUCUCUGGCGUAAAUGACAGAACAGAGAGUUGGGGUCGAAGAGUGAUAUAAAUUUUUUAAAUUUAUUUACUUUUUAUUGAGAAUCUUGCCUGUGAGCAAAUUAAUCAAAUUUAAUUAUAUAUUUAAUAUUAUACUUAUAAUGAGUUGAGCUUAUUUUUUAUUAUAUGCAUUUACAUAGUUUGUAUUUAAUCAAUGUCAACCCACACGCUUCAACACCUUUUUUUUUUAACUUAUAUACUUAUAUUAGUUUUAAUUAAUUUUAAAUAUAAAAUAUUUUUAUGUAAUAUAAAUAUGAAAAUUACAAACUUUAUGAAAGAUGAAAUUAUAAUUCUUGGAUAAAUAAAUUUAUGUUGGAUAAAUAAAUUUGUACAAUUUAUAAAAUCCAUACAUUUUUUUAUAUAAUGAAAAUUAUUUACCUAUUCCUCAUGUAUAGAACAAUUCAUAUACCAAAUCAAUGAAUGAUUUUCAUUUUAAAGAUUUUUUAGUAUUAGAACUUUUUUUAUCUUUUUCUUCCCAAAUGCAAUCAAAAUAUUGGUAAAAAAAAAGCAAGCAAAAGAAGUUAAGAAAGACUUCAUGCUUGAGCAUAAUUUUAAAGUAAAAAAUAUAUUAUGAAAUAUAAUGAAAAAUUAUUAUUAACAGUAUAGAUAUGGGCAAAUUCACUUUCUAAUUUGUUGGUAUCGAAAUUACACUAAUUAAACCUAUAUUUGCACUAGGAAAAAAAACAACUUUUAGCAUAUGCAUGUUUUAUCAAUUUAAAUACUAGGAAAUUUCUUGUCUGUUGAGGAACACCUUAUAUGAGUUACGAGGUCAUGGAAAUUUGUUGUAUAGUAUAAUACAAAAUGCCCCAUUAAGCACAACACCAAAUCCCUAACUUACCCAAAAGCAAUACUUUCCUUUUGGCACUAUUUUUUUUUAAAUUAAUUUUUUAUCUGUUGAAAGCAUGGGGCGUCAAUUUUGCCCUUGACCUUAUGUGCUAAUAUGUCAACUUUGAGGGGCUUAGAGCACCUAAAAAAGGUACUAAAAGCUAAGGGCUGCCCACUACAUUUAGAGCGUGAUAUUAGGGAUAUACUCUCCACUUUAGAAGAAGCCAAGAAAGCUCAUUGUUGCAGAAAGAAUUGCAGGUUUCAUAAAGGAAGUCAUAAAUAAGACAUGAUCCUAUAAAUUAUAUUUGGAAUUUGAAUCUAUCCAACACCGACUUUUACACUGAAAUUUCUUGGAAUACCCAUGUUAAAUUAAGUUUCUUCAGAUAAUAAAUACCUUGUAUUGAUUGCAUACAAAGUCUUCUUUUUUUUUCUUUCUGAAAUCAUUUUUAAAAUUAGCAAAUCACAAUCACUUAAAAGAUUUUUUUUAUUGAAGGUGAUUUACAGCUGAGAUAUUAGCCAAGAAAUUAGAAAGCUACGAUAAGUCUUGUACAAAACUAGCAUAGGUAGCUAGAUUUCUAUUCUGCCUUCACUUUUGCUUUAAAAUAACCUAUUUUUAUCUGAUGAAGUUUAAUUAACACCUGCAACCAGACAUGUCUCAGUCAAUGAUAAUUAAGUUGUGCAGAACUGACCACAUUUUGAAUUGGAAGAACCCUAAUAGCUAUAAAACUUACAUAGCUUAGUCAAUAACACAGCUUCUGCCCUGAAAAAAGAAAAAAAAACAUUCUUGAGGAAAACAUGUGCAUGAUUGUCAAUGGAGAAGCUGACACUAAAACAAAAAUUUCAAACACACAAUCCCUUUUGAAAGAUUCUAAAAAACCCAUUUGAAAUCUCGUCCAGACAAGUUCAUUUAUGUUACGUGUCAAAGACAACUUACCAAAUAUUCUUUCACUUUGGAUUUUAGAAAGCAAUAAUCUUUUUUUACCUCUUUUUUCAUUAUAUGCAUUGGAAGCGUGGUAACAAGCCCAAACGAACAGGUCUAAACGGCAAAAAUCAUUAUAUUAUAUUUUUAUAAUAUAAUAUAGAGCAUAAUUUCUUGCCGUAGAAAAUUAUUAUUAUUAUUAUUAUUAUUAGUGACUGGAAAUUAUUGAAAUAAAUAAAAUUAACCCAUUUUGUGCAAUCAAGAAUGCAACAACCUAAGAAUGAAGAAUAGAAACAAAAAAGUUUUAUUUAUUUUUUUAAUGCUUAUUAAACAUUUUAGAUUAAUAGGAAAUUAUUAUAUAGUUUCCCUAUUAUAAAGUAAUACAAUUUAUUUUAAAUAUUUUUGUAAAUUACAUAUUUAAUCAAAGACGAGGACUUAACCAUUGUCCUUUACACUGAAACCCUUUUUCUUUUUGGUCACUAAUAUUUGUAUAUAUACAUGCACGACAUACACAACAUGAUCCAGUUGACUAUUGUUGAGGUCAAUGCGUCUCCUUCAUGCUUUCUUCUUCUUCCUUUCCGGCUUUCACCUUUCUACACGUUUUCCUAUUUUCAUACUAAUUAGAUAAGAUUGUAACUUUUUAAUCUCAAUUUCUCGUUUCUUUCAUUGUACCUUAACUUCAAUAAAAAUCUAUCACAAAUUUUUAGUGGCUAUCUAUUUAUCGAAUAUUUCCUUUGUUCAGUUUAAUUUGUCAACUUUUGACUUUCACAGCAACUAAGAAAAUAACUAAAUCAUUUCAUAUUUUUAAAAAUUAAAGAUUUCAAAUUUUUAAUUUUUGGCAUCUUUUGGUUCAAAAUGGUCUAUUUUCUAUAUUUCUCGGAAAGAUAUGUCCACUUACAAGGAAAUUAUUUUCUAAGAAGUAUAAUUUGAAUAUAUUUAGUAUACAAGUCAACUUCAUGGGAAGCAAAUUACUUUCAGAUUACAAAAGACAAUAUUGUUCAUAAUACAAAUUUAUAUGUGUUUAGAUAAUAGGACAAAAUGGUAAAUUAACUAAGGAAUAAGUGCAACAUCCCUAGUCAUCUCUAAAGAAAUUGCUUCCCUUAUGUAAGGAAAGUAGGAUAGAGUACUUCGAAAAAUAGAAUUGAAAAUACAAACUAACAUAAGUAUUUUAUGCACUUUCCUGAAAGUCACAAUUCUCUAAUUUACUUAUCCCCAAUCAAACAUCACCUUUAGUUUGGAGUAACAAUUGAUCUUGUACUAUUUUAUUUAUUUCAAUUUAACUGAUAUGUGUUUUUCUUAUAAUAAAUAUAUUUUUUUCUUAAUUUUUUAUUAUUGUUUUGUCUCCAUAUUAUUUGGAGCUUUUUUAUCUCUUCUUUUGUACAUGGGUUUGAUAUUAAAUAAAGGUAUGAUAUUUGAUUUUAUUGAGUUGAAGAAUUUGGAUAUUAAAUUGAAAUAUAUGGAUCUUCUAUUAAUGGAAUAUAGUAGUGCAUCUUAUUCAUCCAUUGACACACAGUGAAUAGAACUCAUUUGCGUACAUCAUCUAUAGUAAGUACUUCGAAAACCAAUUUUAGGUAUAAAAGCUCUAGAGAAGAUAAAUAUUAUCUAAAUAAAUAAAGGGCUAGUUGUCAUUUGGAAGAUUCGUAGCUUUUAUCAUGAUCAUCUUCAAGUAAAGAGAUUUAAUAUUAUACAUUUCUGUUAGUUUAUUAUUGAAAAGAAUUUAAACAUUGUUUUCUUUUAUUAAAAGAUGAACGAAAUGGCAGCUCUAUAUUAUUAAUGAAUUAUUAAUUAUAUUUCUGAAAAAAAAUUAUCUUUUGUAAGUGGAGAGGAAUUUAUUUUUAAAUCAGAAGGAGGGUCUAAAGCUCAUUAACCAACACAGCAAUGUUGCCAAGCCACACCCGUUCUAUCAGCAUGAAGCAAGUCACGAACACCAGUAGGAGGAGAAUUAAACAACACUACCUCAUGCGGACCAUGAAUAGCAUCCUUUGCUCACAAAUCGGCUACCGAGUUAGCUUCCCUAUAAAAUUAUAAUCAUCUUCACCUCCCAAUCACGAAGAAGNNNNNNNNNNNNNNNNNNNNNNNNNNNNNNNNNNNNNNNNNNNNNNNNNNNNNNNNNNNNNNNNNNNNNNNNNNNNNNNNNNNNNNNNNNNNNNNNNNNNNNNNNNNNNNNNNNNNNNNNNNNNNNNNNNNNNNNNNNNNNNNAAAGCAUACCAAUCAAGAGCUCGAGAAAACCCCAACUGCCAUAGACCAUUCCAUGAACGAAAGGAACCUGCACAAGCAACUAUGCCAGGCUGACCGCAAGCACUCCCAUCAAUAUUAAUUGUAAUCCAUCCAACAGGAGCUGGCACCCAAGAGACAAGACAUGUCUGAAUCGGCUGAGUGCUACCACUAAUUCUUUUGUCAUUGUCCCAAGCUUUCCGCACCUCCUGAACUUUAAGAAAAAUAAAAUCACAAGUGACCUAUAAGUGACCUCAGCAACAGGAGAAGAAGGAUAAAAAAUCCUCUUUUUUCGCUCCUUCCAGAUCCACCAAAUACACAAUGCAAAGGUAACACUCCAAAGGGCCCCCUAUAGAACAAAUCUCCGUAGAACUGAGAUUAUUAAGAAUCCAUUGAGGCACUAUGUUAGAGGCAAAAUCAUCACACAAAUCAUCAACAAGGAACCAGUUCCAAACUCUGCGAGCCCUACUACAAUCACGAAGAGUAUACAGCCCCUGUUUCACUAGCGCCAUUGCAACUAGAACAAGAGUCAACAGAAGUAAACCCCCUUCUACACCAGUGAAGAGGAAUUUAUUACUUCAUGGAAUAGGCCAAUAAGAUAUUUGGCUCUAUCCGGCUGGUUUCAUGUUUCUCACUUGGUGGUCAUUUCUAAUAUUUCAGUUGAAAUCUCAUUCACACUUGACAUUCCAUCAAUAAACUAUUUGGUCAUACUUUGCUAAGUGGACUACGUCUAAAAAUCAAAGAGCAUUAAAUAAUUUGUUAUAUCCAUUCUUAAAUACUUGUCACAUUUGAAAUUUCACAUCUCUUAAAAAAUUCAUUAAAUUUAUCUAAAUUACAGACAAUAAAUUAUUCAGUAAAUUAACUACAUUGUUCUUAAUUUAAUAUAUCCAAACACUGAAUUUUGAGGAAUUGAAGCAAUAAUUCUUGCUCGUAUAUAAAGUGCUAAAUGAAAGGAAAAAUUUAUUACUCUUUGAAAUCAUAAAUGUGAUAAAUAUUUUAGAACAUGACAAGUAUUUAAGAAUAGAGGUAGUACUAAAUAAUAUCGAUAUUACAUAUAAGUGGACUAUGACAUUACAAAUCUCUUUUAUGUAUGUUGAAGUUUUUCAGGUUUUUUACCUAGCUUUUCCCAUGGUGUAAGUAGGGAGCUUUAUAGUUCAGGUAUAAUUUUUUGAAUAAACUAAUUUUUUCUAGAUUAAAAAAUAAUAAAAUAAAUUAAUUUACCAAUAAAAAAAAAAACUACCAAGUGUUAAUAUAAAAUAUGUAAGUCAUGUGUAGAUUGCAGAAGAUCAACAUUAUUAAGAUUAUACUUAUUUAGACCGAAUUCAUGGCCUCAUCAAUGGACCGAACCAAUGAAAAUAAAAUUUUUUUUUUUAAAUUAUUCUUACUUCAUCCUCUUUUUUCUAUUAUAUAUGGUUAAAAAUACUAUCAUUUUAAUAAAAAUUAAUAUUUUUAUUGGUUUGAUUCAUAGAUAGGACCAGAAACCAUGCUUAGACAAGUCAAUCAUUAUUAACGGGAGAAAAGUUCUUAGAAAGAGGCAAAGAAUAGUUUUUAGAAUCCAAGGCUGGAGAUUAAGCAAAGAUUCUCUGCUGCAAAGUUUAAUAGUUCAAGAUAUGCUUGAAAGAAAUUUGAGGGGAAAACUUCUGCAUAAUCCAUAGAUAUAUUCAAAGUUCUUUAACAAAAGUCAUCUAUUCCCUUCGCUAAUCUCCUAUUCCUAUAGAAUGCUCUACUAAAUAAAAGUUAUUUUCUAAUUAGAAAUUGAACAUAUAAUCUGUAAUGUAAAUCUGAUGAUACUAUAAAAAUCAUCAGCAUCGGACAUGAAAUACAUAGCCGGAAAUAUUGACUUAGCCGGAAAUAUUGACUGGACCGGAGUUUGAGUUGAUAGAUGGAACUUGUGUGUUUUUCUAUCUCUAGGACGGCAUUUAGGUUUUUAUUUUGUUUUUUUUUUCUGAUUUAUUCAAAUUAAAGCAUUAAUAACUAAUAUAUUACUACCUCCGUUCUAUAAUAGUUGUCAAAUUUGAGAAAAUAGUUUAUUCUAAAAUACUUGUCAUUUUGUGGUUUGAAGGUGUAAUAAAUACUUUUUUACCAUGUUUAUCAUUUCUAUAAAACCAAUAAUUAUUAUUUUAAUUUAAUGGUUUUCUUAGAGAAUUAGUAAUUAAGGAUAAUAUAGCUAAUUUACUCAAUAAUUUGUUACAACUUAAAUAAAAUUUAAUGGUUUUCUUAAAAGACGUGAAAUUCCAAAUGUGACAAGUAUUAUAGAACAGAAGUAGUAUACUUUUAUUAAUUUGGUUUGUAUUCAGAAACAUAGAUAUUUAAUACUAACGACUGUCGAGGUUGAACAGUGAGGAGAAUUAUUGAAUAAAAAAAAUAACUAUUUCCUCCUUCCCAUUUUAUUUGUAUGAUUUGACAAAACACAGAUAUUAAGAAUUUAGUUUCAUAAAAAUUAUUUUGGCCUUUUUCAUUCUUAACUUAUUAAGAUAUUCUUAACUUAUUAAGAUAUUAAUAAAAGUCAUUUAUUUAAUAAACAAUUAUAAAGAUUAUUAUGAGAAAAAGUAAUUUUUUAAAUAUAUAAAUUUAUAAAUCUUAUAAAUAUUUUGAUAUAUUCAAAAAAAGAAUAACAAGCAAGUAAAAUUGUACGGAAUCAACUAUCAGUUCUAGCAUACUUUCAACAACUCAACCAAGCACUCAAAAUAGCAACUUAUAGGAUUCUACUUUAAAGGUUAUAGAGUCUGCUGAAAUCCCUGCUGUUGAAGUACGAAUAGAUCUGUUCUCCAGAAGCUGUUGCCAUAGGCAUUGCAGAAAACCUAACAUAGUCCCUCUCUGACUUAGUUCUGCAUAUUUCAGCAACAUACUUGAAGAGCUGCUUAAUUGGCAUCCACUGAGAAAAAGAAAAUAAAAAACAAAAAAAAUUACCAUCAUCUUUCUAACAAAAACCAUUAAUAUUGCACAUAAAGUAAAGAUUACUAACUUUCUUGGUUUCUUUUUUAGGAUUUAAUCUUAAAUUGAAAGGAAUAUUAUUUCAAAGUUAAAGCCAUCAAGGUGGAUUUGAUUUCUGAAGGCAUUGUAUAAACAAUUUCUUUCAUGGCUAAAGGAAAAAAUGAAAUAUUAUAUGAUUAUUUAAGAAACGAAAAUAAAGUAUUUCUAAUUAUUUGAAAUGAUAAAGGAGGGGAAUAAACAAUCAACUUUAUCUUUAACCCUUCAAGAUGUAAACUUGAUUUUUAAGUCCUAGAACAGUUUAUUGAUGUUAGCAUAUCCACUUUAAAGGCUUUCCUUUCUUAAGAUGUUUAAAACCACGUAUUAUGCGUCCCAUCCCGUACUACUACUCCUUCCGUCCCAAAAAAAUAGUUCAUUUCCUAUUUUCAUACAGAUUAAGAAAAUAACAAUUAUAAUGAUUAAAGGACAAUUUUAUUCAUAUGACUUUCUUAUUAUGCUCAUCUUAAUAACACCUGAGCAAUUAUUAUAUUAAAAUAAUAAGUAAGAAUUAAUGAUGAUUAUUGAAAAUAAGAUAAAUUUAAUAAGGGUAUAGUAGACAAUUUAAGGAUUAACUAUAAUGCAAAAAAGGAAAGUGGGCUAUAUUUUGGAACAAAUCAAAAAGGAAAGAUGAACUAUCUUUUUGGGAUAGAAGGAGUAUUUGAUUUAGAGGCUUAACAUAUUCUUUUUAUGUUUAGCAAAGUGGUCUCCAAGGUGUCAAUAACAUAUUGGUGAAAGUGUUGUUUUCUGACUAUAAGAAUAAAAGACUUGUUAUGGAACCAUUUCAAGACUAUAAGAUCAAUAGACUUUGUUUAAUAUACAUUUAUAUCUAUAUAAAGAAAUACAACAAAAUGCAUAAGCUAACACUCAACUCUCUAGUCUUAAAAAGAUAAAAUGAGUUAUUUUAAAACAACCUGAACAAAUAAUUACUUUCUGUGAAGUCCCAUCCACACAUUACCAGAGCUAAUUAAUUAAAAUUCUCAAAUACCUAAACCAUCAAGAACUAAAUAUUUUUGAAUUACAAAGUUUUCCUAAUUCAUAAAAAUAGUAUAAUGCGUUCUAAGAAAAGCAAAAGGAUCUCAUUUCUUAUUAUGAAGAACAAGAGGAAGAUCAGAGGAAGUAUGCCUGCAUUUAGCACAUCCAACAAUUGCCAUUAGCUUUUUAAUCAAAUAUGAAAACUCUGAAGUGAGAAUAGAGGAGUAGGACAAUGAAGAAAAUAGGAAUUAUAAGUUUUCUGAUUCUAAACAUUUAAAGGAAUUAUAAGUUUUCUGAUUCUAAACAUUUAAGGAUGAUCUUAUUUUCAAUGCUCCUACAGCUAUUCUACUAACCAUACACAUAGUAUUUAUAAGAACAACAUAAAAUAAUCAAAAAAAUACCAACAUAAUACAAACUUGGAAGUGAAAAUUCAGAACAACAAUAUCAAACAGUCCUUUAUUAACAAUAACAUAAUAAUAACAUCUAAAAUACCAACCAAUAUAUUAUCAAUUAUCCUGAAAAUAAUAUUUCACCUAUAACUAUAAGACCACACAGAAUAAACAAUAAUAGGACCAGGAAGCAGCCAUACCAGAUGCAAAACCAAGCGAGCAAAAUGGUACAAUUCGAAAACAUGUCCUCCUUGGGCGCUGAAGGAAUAAAGAAGAUGUUGAUUGCGAGUUACUGCCAGAAAGACGACAAGGCUUAAUGUUUCUAAACUUCUGCAUUUCAAACCAAUGGAUGUAAAAAUGCUUGCACAAAACUUGUUUGGCUAAAACUUGAAGUAAUUCUUUCAAUUUAUAGAGGAAAACUUUUCCUCCCAUAGUCCCCAAUGCAAAUUCCUUGCCAUUGGGGCUCAAGAAGUCAACACUUUGAAUAGUUCGUUGACAUCUUGACUUGGUUCUAUUUUCCUAACAAAAUGACAGAGUUUAAAUUGGGACACCAAGAAAAUACACAGAACCUUCUUAUCAAGCGUUCUUGUUGAAAAAUAAUACUGAACCAAAAGGAUUGUUAAUUAGCCAUGAGAUUGUUUUCCACUAGUGCACAAGCUGCUAAUAUAAUCAUACUCACUCAUCAGUAAACUAAAUCAUCCGAACUAACCGAAAAAUAUGAACCAAUCACAACCAAAAGAGCAAUUAAAUUCCUCUGAAAUUGGUUAUAAGGAAACAGAUCAAAGAAAAAAAUGAAACGAAUACAGAAUUUUGCUUACCUGGUUGAAAAUUAGCGUUUCUCUGGUUGGUGUAAACCGCUGCAAGCAAGAGAGAUAAAGCGAGGGUUGAGAAAUUAAGAAGAAAGAAUAAAAAAUAAACAGGGCGAAAACAGACAGAUAACGUACAGCUCUGCAGAAGAGGCAAGAGGCAACAUUGAUAGAGAGAGAAGAUCCAGCUAUAGCUAUAGUUAAAAAAAUGUCAAUCAUUCUGCACAUAAAAUAUUAAGAUAAAUAUAACAAAAUAUAACAAAAUCAAACGGAAACGGAAGCAGGAGGAGCUCCAUGAUUGAUAUCUGAAUCAGAUAGAAGCCACACUUAAGCGUGCCACGUGGGAGUGAGGCUAUCUGGAAGAUUCCGUCCGUCAAGCUGAGUCUAAAAUAAAAUCUCCCCCGCCGGCCGGUGAUACAAGCAGCUUUUUUGGUUGGAAUGGGAGUAAUUUUUUUUUAAUGCAUGUGAAAAAUAAUUCUGAAAAAUAUUUAGAAAAAAAUAACUAAAUUUAUCAAAAUUUUCUAUUUUUAAGGGCGUUUAGUUCAGCUGCACUUAAUAGCUGUCUUCCAAACAACUGCACUUAGUAUUUUAAUAUUUUUUAUGGUUAUUUUAUUUUUAAGUUUUAAUUAUUUAAAAAUAAUAUUUUUAUUAAAUAUUAUUUUAAAAAUUUAAAAUUUUUAUAUAUAUAAUACAUUUGAAUAAAAAAAAAAUACUAAUAUGAUCACAUUAAAGAUAAAAAAUAUAAAUAUUAUACAUUAUAAUAUAUAAAAAAAAAUAAUGAUUGUUAUUAAAAUUUUACUAAAUAUCAAUAUUUAUCAAAUAACCGUUGUUAACUAUCCGUUGAUAUAAAUAGCUAAACGAUGUUUAGUUUUUAGUUUUUUUUUUUAGUUUUUUUUUUUAAUCUAGAUUCAUUUGGUUUUUAGUUUAUUCAUUUCUUGAUAGUUAAUUCUCGUAGUGUUUGGUAAACUUAAAACAUCUCUAAAGUAACCAUGGAUUGUUAUAAUUCAUUUGCCACGUCUAAAAAAUUAGAAGUUAAAAACAAAAAUCUUUUUUAAUAUUGUUGUGUACUUAACAUAUAAGUCUGAUGUAUUAAAAAGAAAAAGAGACAUUUUCUGUCACGCUCUUUAUUUUCAGAAAGUCUAUUAGAUAGCGUGACUCAAUUUUUAUUUUUUUUUCCUAUUUAUUGAUUUUUUCUUCGUGCAUUAGGGAGCCAUUUCUAAAAUCUAACAUUUACAAAUACACAUUCUGAAACUCUACCAUCCACAACUUCUAUUUAUUAAGACACGUCACUCGCAAUUUAUGGUUAAUUAAUAUUUUACUAAAUAUUAUUUAGAAAGAUUAAUUAAUAUUUUUAAUUUAUAUAAUACAUUAAAAUAAAAAAUAAUAUAUAACUUUAAAAUAAAAAAUACAAACAUUAUAUCACAUAACAUAAAAAAAAUUAUAUCCUUAACAUUCAUUUAACAUUUUAAUAACAUAAAAAAAAUUAUGUCCUUGACGUUCAUUUAAUAUUUUAACAUAUUUUAACAUCAACCAUAAAUACCAACUACAACCACUAUCGGCUAUCAACCUGUAUAUUUAGCUAUAUCAAAAACGAUCACUAUAAACCAACCAAACAGCCAUAGGUGUAAUUUUCAAAUUUAAAUAUUAUAAUUUUAAUGGGAUAAAAAUUCAGAAAGUAGAAAAAUGAUUUGAAUAUUUUUAUUAUUUCUUUCCUUUUCUUCCAAUGUCAUUAUCUGGGUCCACAUCUACACACGUGUCCACAACGGAAAUUGAUACUUUUUUACAUUUUAAUACAUAAAGUUACCAAAAUUUACAUUCUCUACUAAAUUUUUACAUUUUCCCCCACUAAAUUAUUAACUUUAUAUAUCACCACCAUUGACCAAAUACAAGGUUAAUCUUAUCAAUCAACUCUCAUAAUUUAUUAACUCACCCUCCCUCUCACAAAUUCACAAUCACGCUCUAAAAUCUCCGUGUCCAAAGCCCAUGCUUCGCUAGUAAACUUUCCGGCACCCAUGUGGCCCAAGUCACUCAGGUCCACUUCUCCACCGUAGAUCACUAUGUACUUUCCAAUCCCAACCGUUGAAAAUACACUUUGAGCCGUUGGUUUUUCACCGCGUAUCUGUACUUGCUCCCACUUUCCAAGGGUCGGGUCGGGUCAAAGCUAUGCACAUCGUUCGUUUCCAUACCCGCGAACCCAUAUACGACCCAUAUUUUCCCUCCGGCUACGGCC
RNAcentral lists this long non-coding RNA (33056 nucleotides) under Jatropha curcas. RNAcentral's name for it is "long non-coding RNA (JCUR_LNC002347)". The record is from RNAcentral. Lineage: Eukaryota; Viridiplantae; Streptophyta; Magnoliopsida; Malpighiales; Euphorbiaceae.